GUCUAUGGCCAUACCACCCGGAAUGUGCAUGAUCUCAUCUGAUCUCAGAAGCUAAGCGGGGUCGGGCCUGGUUAGUACUUGGAUGAGAGAUCGCCUGAGAAUGUAGUCUAUCCU
This is a ribosomal RNA of Cricetulus griseus (Chinese hamster), 114 nucleotides long. Lineage: Eukaryota; Metazoa; Chordata; Mammalia; Rodentia; Cricetidae. The record is from Ensembl.